This 486-nucleotide ribosomal RNA is filed under the name uncultured bacterium. Its description in RNAcentral is "partial 16S ribosomal RNA". It matches the Rfam family "Bacterial small subunit ribosomal RNA", at positions 30 to 507 of the family's 1533-position model. The record is from RNAcentral.
AUUGAACGCUGGCGGCAUGCCUUACACAUGCAAGUCGAACGGCAGCACGGGUGCUUGCACCUGGUGGCGAGUGGCGAACGGGUGAGUAAUACAUCGGAACAUGUCCUGUAGUGGGGGAUAGCACGGCGAAAGCCGGAUUAAUACCGCAUACGAUCUACGGAUGAAAGCGGGGGACCUUCGGGCCUCGCGCUAUAGGGUUGGCCGAUGGCUGAUUAGCUAGUUGGUGGGGUAAAGGCCUACCAAGGCGACGAUCAGUAGCUGGUCUGAGAGGACGACCAGCCACACUGGGACUGAGACACGGCCCAGACUCCUACGGGAGGCAGCAGUGGGGAAUUUUGGACAAUGGGCGAAAGCCUGAUCCAGCAAUGCCGCGUGUGUGAAGAAGGCCUUCGGGUUGUAAAGCACUUUUGUCCGGAAAGAAAUCCUUGGCCCUAAUACGGGCGGGGGAUGACGGUACCGGAAGAAUAAGCACCGGCUAACUACGUG